This 1625-nucleotide long non-coding RNA is filed under the name Trifolium pratense (red clover). Its description in RNAcentral is "long non-coding RNA (TPRA_LNC002295)". The record is from RNAcentral. Lineage: Eukaryota; Viridiplantae; Streptophyta; Magnoliopsida; Fabales; Fabaceae.
GUCCUACAAAUAACUACACAUGUCAUCAAUAACUCUGCAUAUUUAUAAAUGGGUCCCACAAAUUCUAUUAAGUACUAUGAGAGAGAGGGUGCUUAUUUGAGAAGUGGUACCUAUUUGGUACUAAAAUGUGUUGUGCUCCAAUGAUAGUACCUAAUAAGUACCAUGAGUACCUAAUAGGUACUACACUAUUGGAGAUGGUCAGUGGUCUAAAAUAAUUGCUUAAAACAGAGUACAAACCUGGUUUCUGAGUAUUUCAACUAUCAAUGACAGACCAACUCUCUGACUAAGGAAUCCAAAUCAUCCAGCACCUCAAGCACAACUAUGAAAAUCUAAUUUAUGUUUGACCAAUGACUGCAAUGGAGUAGAAACAGUAGUGAAUUAGUCACAACUAAAGUGUAUACAUAUACCCUUCAAAUGCCUCCAAUAUUGUAGUAACUAAUAUUAAAAACUAGUAUUAAAUUUAGUUCAAUGAGAUAAAUUUACAUCAUGUUUGGUACAAAGAAUGGUCAUUCAAUUAUGCUGCCAUUGGAGAAAGAAAAGAAGUCGUUAUUUCUCAAUACCUCUUGGUCCUAUUUAAAUUUUAAAUAACUUNNNNNAAGAUAUUUCAGUUUUCCAUAAUCAUUAAUUAAUACCAUCACUCUACACAAACAAAUUGAAUAUUUAUGUUAGAGGCUCAAUUGAGUAGGAGAAGGAAUUGAACUUCCAGUGAAAAGUGGUUGUUGGUGUUUCUUCUUUGAAGCUCACCAGCUAGUUGUAGAUAGCUUCCUCUUAGAAAUGUGUUAGUGUUAUAGAGCAUCAAUCAACCUACCAAGUUGAAGAACAUAUUGGUCUCUAGCAUCAAGUCCAGUAGGAGUGUCACGAGGUGAAAAUUCUAUAGGAACAAGGAUUUUGACACAUUAGUCACAUACUGUAUGAUCCUUCUCAUGUAUCCAGAUUCUAGACAUCAAAAUGAUGUUCACAAUUUUAGAAUAAAUCAUCAUCACUAAAUUAAUAUGGUGGCUACUGAUAUAUGAUUAGGAAAAAUAAAAGUUCAAAAGCGGAAACAAUUCCUUUAAACUAAGAAGAAGAUAGCAAUUAAAUCAACAUAAAACAAGGAUUGAUGACAUUAAAAAUCCGUCAACCUUCUUAGCUUAAAUAGAAACCACAACAUUUUGGAUUAAUAACAUUAAACCACACAUAUAUAAAGAUGCAAUAGCAGGGGAAUAACAUAACUACGGUGAAGUGAAAUACGGUGAACCACCAGAGAUAUUACCUUGAUAUAGCGGACCCUAGAAAAGGUGAAAUACGGCGAAGUGAAGUUGAAGAAACAAAACAAAGGCACCAAUUUCAAUGUCGACGACAGGGGAGGCCUUUAUACGGCGAACCCUUACAGUGAGAAGGGAAAUACAGCGGCGGAGGAAAGUUGGGUGCAAAUCAAAGGAGAAGGAAACUCUGCGAUUAUUGAAUAUUUCACGAUUAUUGAAUUUGUUUUAGGCAAGAAAAGGUGUGUGUGUAUAUAUAAAAAAGUAAAAUCACAACAAGUCAUAAUGUCGUAUAGAGGUAAAAUGAAGGAAACCAAAAACAAUGAAGGGAAAAUUGUAGAGUAUGAAAAACUAACAUGUGUAGCAAUGAUUUGGAGGCNNNNN